This 87-nucleotide transfer RNA is filed under the name Chara vulgaris. RNAcentral describes it as "tRNA-Ser". It matches the Rfam family "tRNA". Rfam says of the family: Transfer RNA (tRNA) molecules are approximately 80 nucleotides in length. Their secondary structure includes four short double-helical elements and three loops (D, anti-codon, and T loops). The record is from RNAcentral. Lineage: Eukaryota; Viridiplantae; Streptophyta; Charophyceae; Charales; Characeae.
GGAAAGAUGUCCGAGUGGUCGAUGGUGUAGUAUUGGAAAUGCUAUGUAAACUUUAGUUUACCGAGGGUUCAAAUCCCUCUCUUUCCG